RNAcentral lists this ribosomal RNA (969 nucleotides) under Triticum aestivum (bread wheat). RNAcentral's name for it is "partial small subunit ribosomal RNA". Lineage: Eukaryota; Viridiplantae; Streptophyta; Magnoliopsida; Poales; Poaceae. The record is from RNAcentral.
UUCCAGUUCAAAGUAGACUACGAGCAAGUUAAGCAGCUUCCCACCGGCAAGUCCGUCUUCUCCGAUGCCGUAUCCGCCGGUGGGCACCUGUGGAGGAUUGAGUGCUUCCCGCGUGGGGUGAACGAGGCCGACAGGGAGUGUGUUUCUAUCUUCCUCGAGCACAUGAGCAAAUCCAAAAGUGUUGGGGCAUUCUUCGAGGUCUUGAUGAUGGGCAGGGACGGCAAACCAUGCCUGUCACAUAUACGUAGGGCAUUUGAAACCUUUGAGAUCACGGAAGACGGCGACACCUUUGGAUGGCAUCAGUUCGUGAAGGGGACUGUUGUGGAGAAAGAUUACUUGGCAGGGAGACACGUCACGUUUGUGUGCGCGAUCAUGGUCGUCGAUGACAGUACUAUUCUCAGUCCUAUUCUCGUCCCAUCUUCAGACAUCGGGACCCAUCUUGGCCGUCUGCUAGACCAUGCUGACGGGACGGACGUGUCAUUCGUCGUCGACGAUGAGACAUUCCGUGCACACCGAGCGGUGCUUGCUGCCCGCUCGCCGGUGUUUAGAGCAAAGCUCUUCGGUUCCAUGUCUGAGGCUACAAUGCCAUCCAUCACGCUGCACAGCAUCAAACCCGCAACAUUCAAAGUUAUGCUUCAGUUUAUUUACACGGAUGAAUUGCCCGAGGAAGACGAGCUUCAGGACUCUUCUGCCCAGAUGUUUCAAGAUCUACUCGCUGCGGCCGAUCGGUAUGCACUGGACCGACUGAAGAUUAUUUGUGCUCAGAAGCUGUGGGAGAAAGUGUCUGUUGAGACAGUUGCAACUAUCUUGGCUUGGGCUGAAACCUACAACUGUCAGCAGUUGAAGAAUAAGUGCAUUGUCUUCUUUGUGGUGGAGGAAAAUUUCAGGAAGGUCAUGUUCACUGAUGGUUAUGGGUUGUUGCUUUUGAAAUUCCCAGCUAUUAUUGCUGAGCUAAGGAAGAGAGUUUAG